GUUCCUCUUCCAUAAGGCCAACCUGUCGAAAUCCUCGAUGCUCAUGCCGAACACUUGGACAAACUCUUCUGGGGAAAGGUGACGCUGGGACAAAGAAGGAAAAUCCCUUUAACACGUACUACCUGUUUUAUUUUCUCAGAAGGAAGAGUACAAUUUACCUCCAGUCUGGAUCUCUCGACAUCUCUGGGAAGCCUGUUCCUCCCUCUGGUGGUGACAAUAAGCGCUUCGUACGGAUAAAUCUGCAAGAGAAUUCAAACGGGCCUAAAAAUCAGAUGUCUCAUCUUCAUUACCAUUUGAAUAAUUCAAAACAUCUCAAUAGAAUUAAGUGUAAAGCGCUUACCUUGUAUUCUGCUGUAAUCCAAAUAAAAGAUAGUUAAGUUAGUGCAAUGGAUAGUGCUUGAUUCACUUAUUCAAAAAAAGAUUCACGUGCUUAAAAGAUGUUUCCAUAUACCUCUGCUUCCCCAGUUGAGUUCAUUACUACUGUCGUACUGGUACUGGUAGUAAUCGGCACUUUGAGGCUGCAGGUGAUUUGGAGUAAAACAGGGUCAGUUCAGCAAGUCGUAAAAACAAAAUACGCUCAAGUUUGUGAUAGUAAAGUGAAAAAAUGUGAGACAGUUUUAAUGGGAUUACUUUUUUGAAUUUUUAUUCAAGGCUCUGCACCACAUACAAGGAUCAAAUUUAGCAUAUUUUCAGGAAAAUGCUUUGUGUGAUUCACUCACCCGUUGUAUGCCAUUGCGUCCAUAACCGGGAAGUGAGGCAGACUUGCAAACAAACUCUAAAAUAAAAACAUGAACAUUUAAAAGUA
Syngnathus typhle (broad-nosed pipefish) is the source of this 805-nucleotide long non-coding RNA. RefSeq lists it as uncharacterized. Lineage: Eukaryota; Metazoa; Chordata; Actinopteri; Syngnathiformes; Syngnathidae. The record is from RefSeq and is a predicted model, not a curated record. The transcript is spliced from 2 exons.